Heteronotia binoei (common prickly gecko) is the source of this 76-nucleotide small nucleolar RNA. RefSeq annotates it as small nucleolar RNA Z40. The transcript has a single exon. NCBI's taxonomy places the organism in Eukaryota, Metazoa, Chordata, Lepidosauria, Squamata, Gekkonidae. The record is from RefSeq and is a predicted model, not a curated record.
AAUUGUUAUGAUGAUUGGCCAAGGAUGUUCAACUGCUCUGAACACAAUGAAUGAGAAAUCGCCAUUCUGAACAAUC